AUAUAGGUCAAGCUACAAAGGGCGCAUGGUGAAUGCCUUGGCAUCAGGAGCCGAUGAAGGACGUGAUAAGCUGCGAUAAGCUUCGGGUAGGCGCACAUAGCCUGAGAUCCGAAGAUCUCCGAAUGAGGAAACUCACAUGGGAAACCCCAUGUAUCAUUAAGUGAAUACAUAGCUUAAUGAAGGUAACCCAGGGAACUGAAACAUCUAAGUACCUGGAGGAAGAGAAAGAAAAAUCGAUUUUCUUAGUAGCGGCGAGCGAAAGGGAAAUAGCCCAAACCGGAAACUUGUUUCCGGGGUUGAGGACAUAACAUAAAGAGAAGUAAUGGCUAAUUGAAGAGAACUGGAAAGUUCCACCGUAGAAGGUAAUAGUCCUGUAAAUGAAAGCUAGUAUAAUCGAGUUAUGAUCCAGAGUACCACGAGACACGUGAAACCUUGUGGGAAGCAGGGAGGACCACCUCCCAAGGCUAAAUACUACCUGAUGACCGAUAGUGAAGCAGUACCGUGAGGGAAAGGUGAAAAGAACCCCGGGAGGGGAGUGAAAUAGAACCUGAAACCGUGUGCCUACAACCACUCAGAGCCCCUUAUGAGGGUGAUGAGGUGCUUUUUGUAGAACGAGCCAACGAGUUACGGUAUGUAGCAAGGUUAAGUACUUAAGGUACGGAGCCGAAGGGAAACCGAGUCUGAAUAGGGCGACUAGUUGCAUGCCGUAGACCCGAAACCGGGUGACCUAUCCAUGGCCAGGUUGAAGCGAGGGUAAAACCUCGUGGAGGACCGAACCACGUUGCUGUUGAAAAAGCAUGGGAUGAGCUGUGGAUAGCGGAGAAAUUCCAAUCGAACCCGGAGAU
RNAcentral lists this ribosomal RNA (845 nucleotides) under Clostridium perfringens. RNAcentral's name for it is "bacterial LSU rRNA". It matches the Rfam family "Bacterial large subunit ribosomal RNA", at positions 1 to 846 of the family's 2925-position model. Lineage: Bacteria; Bacillati; Bacillota; Clostridia; Eubacteriales; Clostridiaceae. The record is from RNAcentral.